CCUACGGGCGGCUGCAGUAGGGAAUAUUGGACAAUGGAGGAAACUCUGAUCCAGCCAUGCCGCGUGAUAGAUGAAGGCCCUCUGGGUUGUAAAUAUCUUUUAUCUGGGAAGAAACAAUCUUAUUCUUAAGAUCUUGACGGUACCAGAGGAAUAAGCACCGGCUAACUCCGUGCCAGCAGCCGCGGUAAUACGGAGGGUGCAGGCGUUAUCCGGAUUCACUGGGUUGAAAGGGUGCUGAGACGGGAGUGUAGAAAGCUCCGAGCUUAACGUGGGAACUGCCAUUGAUACUGGCAGUCUUGAAUGUGGUAGAGGUAAGCGGAAUGUUGCAUGUAGCGGUGAAAUGCUUAGAUAUGUUACAGAACACCGAUUGCGAAGGCAGCUUACUAUGCGAUGAUUGACGCUGAGGCACGAAAGCGUGGGGAGCAAACAGGAUUAGAUACCCGAGUAGUC
This 450-nucleotide ribosomal RNA is filed under the name uncultured bacterium. RNAcentral describes it as "partial 16S ribosomal RNA". It matches the Rfam family "Bacterial small subunit ribosomal RNA", at positions 338 to 795 of the family's 1533-position model. The record is from RNAcentral.